ACGCACGCUGGCGGCGUGCUUAACCCCUGCAAGUCGAACGGAAAGGCCCUGCUUUUGUGGGGUGCUCGAGUGGCGAACGGGUGAGUAACACGUGAGUAACCUGCCCUUGACUUUGGGAUAACUUCAGGAAACUGGGGCUAAUACCGGAUAGGAGCUCCUGCUGCAUGGUGGGGGUUGGAAAGUUUCGGCGGUUGGGGAUGGACUCGCGGCUUAUCAGCUUGUUGGUGGGGUAGUGGCUUACCAAGGCUUUGACGGGUAGCCGGCCUGAGCGGGUGACCGGCCACAUUGGGACUGAGAUACGGCCCAGACUCCUACGGGAGGCAGCAGUGGGGAAUAUUGCACAAUGGGCGGAAGCCUGAUGCAGCAACGCCGCGUGCGGGAUGACGGCCUUCGGGUUGUAAACCGCUUUCGCCUGUGACGAAGCGUGAGUGACGGUAAUGGGUAAAGAAGCACCGGCUAACUACGU
This 466-nucleotide ribosomal RNA is filed under the name uncultured bacterium. Its description in RNAcentral is "partial 16S ribosomal RNA". It matches the Rfam family "Bacterial small subunit ribosomal RNA", at positions 29 to 506 of the family's 1533-position model. The record is from RNAcentral.